This 467-nucleotide long non-coding RNA is filed under the name Zea mays. RNAcentral describes it as "drought responsive lncRNA". Lineage: Eukaryota; Viridiplantae; Streptophyta; Magnoliopsida; Poales; Poaceae. The record is from RNAcentral.
GGCGGGUCAAAUUCGGGUCAUGGGGGUACCAUUGAAGAACGGCGGAUCUGGUGAAUUAGCACGGCCAGGUCACUGGCAUUAAACUUCACUACCAUCAUUGCUUUGCAACCAGUCCUUGCAACAAGCCUCCUUCGAGCUUUGAGGCCAGGCUUAAUCCUAGCUAUGCCGCCUUUGUAACAAACAAAUGUAGCACGGUAUUUUCAUUUGUAGUGACACAGACACUUGAUAGAUAAGUUAUCGCAAGUAGAGGGCAGGGCUUGAUAAAAAAAUAAAUAAAAAUGCAUGAAUACUAGAGAAAUUCCAUGAUCAUGCUAUUUUUUGUACCAAAAACCUUACAUAUAUAUGGGAUAACACCACAAUGCCGGAUUGUUUUUGUAGAUCAAGACAAUACAAGCCUUUGAACUUUCAACUAGUAUGGUCAGGAAAGGAAGAGCAUUAUAAAUAGAAGAAAGUGAUGGGAAUGACAC